Molecule: ribosomal RNA, 111 nt
Filed under: uncultured eukaryote
Lineage: Eukaryota
Description: partial small subunit ribosomal RNA
Rfam family: Eukaryotic small subunit ribosomal RNA
Source: RNAcentral
UCGCUACUACCGAUUGAAUGUCUUAGUGAGCUUUGGGGAUUAAUGUACUUUUGUGGUUCGCCACAAUGUACGUUGAGAACCGAAUCAAACUUGAAUAUUUAGAGGAAGUAA